RNAcentral lists this ribosomal RNA (501 nucleotides) under uncultured bacterium. RNAcentral's name for it is "partial 16S ribosomal RNA". It matches the Rfam family "Bacterial small subunit ribosomal RNA", at positions 29 to 523 of the family's 1533-position model. The record is from RNAcentral.
AUUGAACGCUGGCGGCAUGCCUUACACAUGCAAGUCGAACGGCAGCACGGGUGCUUGCACCUGGUGGCGAGUGGCGAACGGGUGAGUAAUACAUCGGAACGUACCUUAUCGUGGGGGAUAACGCAGCGAAAGCUGUGCUAAUACCGCAUACGCCCUGAGGGGGAAAGCGGGGGAUCGCAAGACCUCGCGCGAUUAGAGCGGCCGAUGCCUGAUUAGCUUGUUGGUGGGGUAAAAGCCCACCAAGGCGACGAUCAGUGGCUGGUCUGAGAGGACGAUCAGCCACACUGGGACUGAGACACGGCCCAGACUCCUACGGGAGGCAGCAGUGGGGAAUUUUGGACAAUGGGGGCAACCCUGAUCCAGCAAUGCCGCGUGAGUGAAGAAGGCCUUCGGGUUGUAAAGCUCUUUUGUCAGGGAAGAAACACCGGCUCUAACACAGUCCGGGAAUGACGGUACCCGAAGAAUAAGCACCGGCUAACUACGUGCCAGCCGCCGCCGUAA